UACGGAGGGUGCUAGCGUUGUUCGGAAUUACUGGGCGUAAAGGGCGCGUAGGCGGCCGUUUGCGUCGGAUGUGAAAGCCCGGGGCUCAACCUCGGAACGGCAUUCGAUACGGGACGGCUGGAGACCGGGAGAGGAGAGUGGAAUAGCCAGUGUAGAGGUGAAAUUCGUAGAUAUUGGCUGGAACACCGGUGGCGAAAGCGGCUCUCUGGCCCGGUUCUGACGCUGAGGCGCGAAAGCGUGGGGAGCAAACCGG
RNAcentral lists this ribosomal RNA (253 nucleotides) under uncultured bacterium. Its description in RNAcentral is "partial 16S ribosomal RNA". It matches the Rfam family "Bacterial small subunit ribosomal RNA", at positions 524 to 776 of the family's 1533-position model. The record is from RNAcentral.